This 64-nucleotide transfer RNA is filed under the name Sympiezomias velatus. Its description in RNAcentral is "tRNA-Tyr". Lineage: Eukaryota; Metazoa; Arthropoda; Insecta; Coleoptera; Curculionidae. The record is from RNAcentral.
GGUAGAAUGGCUGACGAUAAGCAAUAAAUUGUAAAUUUAUUAAUGAAAGAACUUUCUUCUACCA